This is a long non-coding RNA of Schistocerca nitens (vagrant locust), 251 nucleotides long. RefSeq lists it as uncharacterized. The transcript has 3 exons. NCBI's taxonomy places the organism in Eukaryota, Metazoa, Arthropoda, Insecta, Orthoptera, Acrididae. The record is from RefSeq and is a predicted model, not a curated record.
CCGCCGGGAAACUUCUUCCUCUUCCUGCUCUCUCCUCCGACCGGGGAGCCAAUUGCGCGAUGCGGCCCGUCCGAGAAUGAAGAAGAAAACUCACUAAUUGUGCUGAACCCGUAGCGAGACAUAAUCAGGCUUGGAAUACCCUACACUAAAAAUGCAUGACUGUCGCCCUUGUGGAUGUUCCGGGUGUUGCGAGGCUGUGAGUGCUACAAGACAACAGGUACGUCACACUUGUUCCGCAAGCUACAUCAUCG